AGUGGAUGGGGAGCAACCUAUGUUGUGCGUGUGUAAAGGUAGUGCCAAGAAAAGCGAUGAUCAUGUUGAAAAUCAAUUCCCGGUACCCGAAACCGACACAGGUGGGCAAGUAGAGAAUACUAAGGGGCGCGAGGUAACUCUCUCCAAGGAACUCGGCAAAAUGGCCCCGUAACUUAGGGAGAAGGGGUGCCACCGAGAGGUGGUCGCAGUGAAGAGGCCCAGGCGACUGUUUAGCAAAAACAUAGGUCUCUGCAAACUCGAAAGAGGAGGUAUAGGGGCUGACGCCUGCCCAGUGCCGGAAGGUUAAAGAAGUUGGUCAGUUUUAGGAUGAAGCUAGUGACUGAAGCCCCGGUGAACGGCGGCCGUAACUAUAACGGUCCUAAGGUAGCGAGAUUCCUUGUCGGGUAAGUUCCGACCCGCACGAAAGGCGUAGCGAUCUGGGCGCUGUCUCGGAGAGAGGCUCGGCGAAAUAGGAUUGUCUGUGAAGAUACGGACUACCUGCAUUUGGACAGAAAGACCCUAUGAAGCUUUACUAUAGCUUGGAAUUGUGUUCGGGCUUCCUGUGCGCAGGAUAGGUGGGAGGCGUAGAAGGUAUUCUUGUGGGGAUACUGGAGCCAACGGUGAGAUACCACUCUCAGGAGGCUAGAAUUCUAACUUAAUUAAGGACAGUUUCAGGUGGGUAGUUUGACUGGGGCGGUCGCCCCCAAAAAGGUAACGGAGGCGUACAAAGGUCCCCUCAGACUGGUUGGAAAUCAGUCGAAGAGUGCAAAGGCAGAAGGGAGCUUGACUGCGAGAAGUACAGUUCGAGCAGGGUGGAAACACGGUCUUAGUGAUCCGACGGUGCUGUGUGGAAGGGCCGUCGCUCAACGGAUAAAAGUUACUCUAGGAUAACAGGCUGAUCUCCCCCAAGAGUUCACAUCGACGGGGAGGUUUGGCACCUCGAUGUCGGCUCAUCGCAACCUGGGGCGGAAGUACGUCCCAAGGGUUGGGCUGUUCGCCCAUUAAAGCGGUACGUGAGCUGGGUUCAGAACGUCGUGAGACAGUUCGGUCCAUAUCCGAUGUAGGCGUGAGAAUAUUGAGAGGAGCCUUCCUUAGUACGAGAGGACCGGGAAGGACGCACCGCUGGUGUACCUGUUAUGAUGCCAAUUGUAAACGCAGGGUAGCCAAGUGCGGAGAGGAUAACCGCUGAAAGCAUCUAAGUGGGAAGCCCACCUCAAGAUGAGUAUUCUGGUGUAAGGUCACGGGAAGACGACCCGUAAAUAGGCACGAGGUGGAAGUGCAGAGAUGUAUGAAGCCGAAGUGUACUAAUAGACCGUCGGCUUGAC
This 1325-nucleotide ribosomal RNA is filed under the name metagenome. RNAcentral describes it as "bacterial LSU rRNA". It matches the Rfam family "Bacterial large subunit ribosomal RNA", at positions 1561 to 2925 of the family's 2925-position model. The record is from RNAcentral.